This 301-nucleotide ribosomal RNA is filed under the name uncultured bacterium. Its description in RNAcentral is "partial 16S ribosomal RNA". It matches the Rfam family "Bacterial small subunit ribosomal RNA", at positions 509 to 807 of the family's 1533-position model. The record is from RNAcentral.
CAGCAGCCGCGGUAAUACGAGGGGGGCAAGCGUUGUUCGGAAUUAUUGGGCGUAAAGGGCGCGUAGGCGGUUUGACAAGUCUUAUGUGAAAUCUUCGGGCUCAACUCGAAGUCUGCAUGGGAAACUGUCGGGCUUGAGUAUGGGAGAGGUGAGUGGAAUUUCCGGUGUAGCGGUGAAAUGCGUAGAUAUCGGAAGGAACACCUGUGGCGAAAGCGGCUCACUGGACCAUAACUGACGCUGAGGCGCGAAAGCUAGGGGAGCAAACAGGAUUAGAUACCCCCGUAGUCCCUGUCUCUUAUAC